GACGAACGCUGGCGGCGUGCUUAACACAUGCAAGUCGAACGGAAAGGCCUAGCUUGCUGGGUACUCGAGUGGCGAACGGGUGAGUAACACGUGGGUGAUCUGCCCCUGACUUUGGGAUAAGCCUGGGAAACUGGGUCUGAUACCGGAUAUUCAUUUUUCCUCGCAUGGGGAUUUGUGGAAAGCUUUUGCGGUUGGGGAUGGGCCCGCGGCCUAUCAGCUUGUUGGUGGGGUAAUGGCCUACCAAGGCGACGACGGGUAGCCGACCUGAGAGGGUGAUCGGCCACACUGGGACUGAGACACGGCCCAGACUCCUACGGGAGGCAGCAGUGGGGAAUAUUGCACAAUGGGCGCAAGCCUGAUGCAGCGACGCCGCGUGAGGGAUGACGGCCUUCGGGUUGUAAACCUCUUUCAGCUCCGACGAAGCGCAAGUGACGGUAGGAGCAGAAGAAGCACCGGCCAACUACGUG
Molecule: ribosomal RNA, 467 nt
Filed under: uncultured bacterium
Lineage: Bacteria
Description: partial 16S ribosomal RNA
Rfam family: Bacterial small subunit ribosomal RNA
Source: RNAcentral